ACAUCAUAAGCAUUGGCUUUGUCUGUCAGUUUGUACAGCUCACCACAAGAUGGCACCGAAGAGCUUUGAAUCUCCAUGCUGAUUUCGAGCCUGUGGAUGUGGAAUCAGUAUCAUCUUAAGAACUCACCUCAAACCCUGAAGCUCCAGCUGCUUUCACUUCAACCCGUCCUGUGGUGUCUUUACUGGAUUUCUCAGUUUCUUCGUCCUGAGUCUGUCUUCACUCCAAUUUGAUUGAUUACCUGUCUCCGCCCUAAUGUGUUGCACCUGCGUCUCCUUAUCCCCGCCCACCUGUGCAUAUAUGCUGCCUUCACGUGCUAUGGGAAUUAUGAUACAUACUAGCUAAGAACUCGAAAAUUGCGCAUAAACGCCCCCUCAUGUUGUAUUUUCUAUUGGAGAACUGGGAAGAAAUUUUGAUACACGAGCAGCUGAGAUGAAAAUAACCUUUGAACUUUUCAACAUGGUAGAGAGUAACGAGGGAUUCAUAGCAAAUGAUAAAC
Long non-coding RNA from Sphaeramia orbicularis (orbiculate cardinalfish), 497 nucleotides. RefSeq lists it as uncharacterized. The transcript is spliced from 3 exons. NCBI's taxonomy places the organism in Eukaryota, Metazoa, Chordata, Actinopteri, Kurtiformes, Apogonidae. The record is from RefSeq and is a predicted model, not a curated record.